Molecule: ribosomal RNA, 224 nt
Filed under: uncultured bacterium
Lineage: Bacteria
Description: partial 16S ribosomal RNA
Rfam family: Bacterial small subunit ribosomal RNA
Source: RNAcentral
CCGAAUCUCAGUUCGGAUUGCAGGCUGCAACCCGCCUGCAUGAAGUCGGAAUCGCUAGUAAUCGCGGGUCAGCAUACCGCGGUGAAUACGUUCCCGGGCCUUGUACACACCGCCCGUCACACCACGAAAGUUGGGUAACACCCGAAGCCGGUGGCCUAACCCUUAGGGGAGGGGAGCUGUCGAAGGUGGGACUGAUGAUUGGGGUGAAGUCGUAACAAGGUAAC